AUCAAUGUCAGUGUUGAAAUUAUGAAAUUAAGAGGUAUUCACAUUAUUUAAAUAUCUUUUUUAGGCAAGUUGGACAAAUGCAAAUAAAACGCAACGUGAAAAGCUACUUGAGCUGAUAAGUCGUCUUGCAGAAGACGAUAAGGAUGGUGUGAUGGCACAUAAAGUGUUGAACCUUCUUUGGAAUCUGGCCCGUAGUGAUGAUGUGCCUGUAGACAUAAUGGAUGCAGCUCUCAGUGCCCACACCAAAAUAUUAAAUUGCAGUUGUUCCCAGGAUCAAAAUACACAAAAGAUUCAGUGGAUAGACCAUUUUGUAGAAGAACUUCGAUCAAAUGACAAAUGGGUAAUUCCUGCCCUGAAACAAAUAAGAGAAAUUUGUAGUUUGUUUGGUGAAGCACCUCAAAAUGUAAGUCAAAUUCAGCGAAGUCCCCAUAUAUUUUAUCGCCAUGAUUUAAUCAGCCAACUUCAGCACAAUCAUGUCUUAGUUACUUUGGUAGCAGAAAACCUUGCAACUUACAUGGAUAGCAUGAGAUCAUAUGUUACAGGUGUGUAUGAUAAGAUAACUUUGGGGCUCAAGAUAGAUUUUCCUUCCGUUUUUGUUUGGGU
This 603-nucleotide long non-coding RNA is filed under the name Fukomys damarensis (Damara mole-rat). Its description in RNAcentral is "lncRNA (ENSFDAG00000022815.1)". Lineage: Eukaryota; Metazoa; Chordata; Mammalia; Rodentia; Bathyergidae. The record is from RNAcentral.